UACCUUGUCUUUAAUGUAUAUUAGUAUCCC
RNAcentral lists this non-coding RNA (30 nucleotides) under Mus musculus (house mouse). Lineage: Eukaryota; Metazoa; Chordata; Mammalia; Rodentia; Muridae. The record is from RNAcentral.